RNAcentral lists this small RNA (274 nucleotides) under uncultured Aliivibrio sp. Its description in RNAcentral is "5' ureB small RNA". It matches the Rfam family "5' ureB small RNA". Lineage: Bacteria; Pseudomonadati; Pseudomonadota; Gammaproteobacteria; Vibrionales; Vibrionaceae. The record is from RNAcentral.
CUUGUUGAGGGCAGAUAAAGUGAAUAUGGGUAUCUACACCGCCAGCAGUAAUUAUUUUUCCUUCGCCUGCGAUUACUUCGGUACCAGGACCUACAACGAUAUCUACAUUAGGCUGUACAUCAGGGUUACCUGCUUUGCCAAUGCCAGCAAUGCGACCAUCUUUAAUGCCUAUGUCUGCCUUGACGAUACCCCAAUGAUCAACAAUCAGUGCGUUGGUGAUCAGAACAUCGACACACUCACUGCAUAUCACUUGGCUUUGACCCAUGCCGUCACG